GAAUGCUGACAUAAGUAACGAUAAAGCGGGUGAAAAGCCCGCUCGCCGGAAGACCAAGGGUUCCUGUCCAACGUUAAUCGGGGCAGGGUGAGUCGACCCCUAAGGCGAGGCCGAAAGGCGUAGUCGAUGGGAAACGGGUUAAUAUUCCCGUACUUGGUGUUACUGCGAAGGGGGGACGGAGAAGGCUAUGUUGGCCGGGCGACGGUUGUCCCGGUUUAAGCGUGUAGGUGUGUGUUCCAGGUAAAUCCGGUUCACUUUAACACUGAGGCGUGACGACGAGGCACUACGGUGCUGAAGCAACAAAUGCCCUGCUUCCAGGAAAAGCCUCUAAGCAUCAGGUAACAUCAAAUCGUACCCCAAACCGACACAGGUGGUCAGGUAGAGAAUACCAAGGCGCUUGAGAGAACUCGGGUGAAGGAACUAGGCAAAAUGGUGCCGUAACUUCGGGAGAAGGCACGCUGACACGUAGGUGAAGUGAUUUACUCAUGGAGCUGAAGUCAGUCGAAGAUACCAGCUGGCUGCAACUGUUUAUUAAAAACACAGCACUGUGCAAACACGAAAGUGGACGUAUACGGUGUGACGCCUGCCCGGUGCCGGAAGGUUAAUUGAUGGGGUCAGCGCAAGCGAAGCUCCUGAUCGAAGCCCCGGUAAACGGCGGCCGUAACUAUAACGGUCCUAAGGUAGCGAAAUUCCUUGUCGGGUAAGUUCCGACCUGCACGAAUGGCGUAAUGAUGGCCAGGCUGUCUCCACCCGAGACUCAGUGAAAUUGAACUCGCUGUGAAGAUGCAGUGUACCCGCGGCAAGACGGAAAGACCCCGUGAACCUUUACUAUAGCUUGACACUGAACAUUGAGCCUUGAUGUGUAGGAUAGGUGGGAGGCUUUGAAGUGUGGACGCCAGUCUGCAUGGAGCCGACCUUGAAAUACCACCCUUUAAUGUUUGAUGUUCUAACGUGGACCCGUUACCCGGGUUGCGGACAGUGUCUGGUGGGUAGUUUGACUGGGGCGGUCUCCUCCUAAAGAGUAACGGAGGAGCACGAAGGUUGGCUAAUCCUGGUCGGACAUCAGGAGGUUAGUGCAAUGGCAUAAGCCAGCUUGACUGCGAGCGUGACGGCGCGAGCAGGUGCGAAAGCAGGUCAUAGUGAUCCGGUGGUUCUGAAUGGAAGGGCCAUCGCUCAACGGAUAAAAGGUACUCCGGGGAUAACAGGCUGAUACCGCCCAAGAGUUCAUAUCGACGGCGGUGUUUGGCACCUCGAUGUCGGCUCAUCACAUCCUGGGGCUGAAGUAGGUCCCAAGGGUAUGGCUGUUCGCCAUUUAAAGUGGUACGCGAGCUGGGUUUAGAACGUCGUGAGACAGUUCGGUCCCUAUCUGCCGUGGGCGCUGGAGAACUGAGGGGGGCUGCUCCUAGUACGAGAGGACCGGAGUGGACGCAUCACUGGUGUUCGGGUUGUCAUGCCAAUGGCACUGCCCGGUAGCUAAAUGCGGAAGAGAUAAGUGCUGAAAGCAUCUAAGCACGAAACUUGCCCCGAGAUGAGUUCUCC
This 1539-nucleotide ribosomal RNA is filed under the name Salmonella enterica. RNAcentral describes it as "partial 23S ribosomal RNA". It matches the Rfam family "Bacterial large subunit ribosomal RNA", at positions 1292 to 2814 of the family's 2925-position model. RNAcentral also lists the same sequence under 1 other name. Lineage: Bacteria; Pseudomonadati; Pseudomonadota; Gammaproteobacteria; Enterobacterales; Enterobacteriaceae. The record is from RNAcentral.